CCUAAUUUCCAAAAAUUUGAACCCUAAUUAUUCUGUCUGAAAACCUAAUCGGGAUAUUAAAACCCUAAGUGGGAAGCUUGAAGUGAAGUAUAGAGUUUCUAUGUAAUUAAUUGUAAAUAUAAUUAGGGAUAACCCUAAUUGAUUAAUUGGAAAGCCCUAAUUUCAAAUAUAGAAAACCCUGACAUGCAAUUAGAGAAAACCUAAUUAUUAACUUAUAGAGUUAAUAUUAAUUAGGAAGCCUUAACCCUAAUUAGCAAGCUUGAAUGAGACUAGUAAACUUUAUUGUAAUUAGGAAACCCUAAUCUAAAUUAGGAAAACCUAAUUUCUAAAUUUGAAAGAUCAUUUUCUAUGUAAAAUCCUAAUUAGUGGGUUAUAAACUCUAAUGACCAAUUAUGAUCCUAAUUGCUAAAUUAGCAAAUUUAAUUAGGAAAUAAUAAUCCUAAUUGACAAG
This 451-nucleotide long non-coding RNA is filed under the name Panax ginseng (ginseng). RNAcentral's name for it is "long non-coding RNA (PGIN_LNC016088)". Lineage: Eukaryota; Viridiplantae; Streptophyta; Magnoliopsida; Apiales; Araliaceae. The record is from RNAcentral.